GACGAACGCUGGCGGCGUGCUUAACACAUGCAAGUCGAGCGGUAAGGCCCUUUCGGGGGUACACGAGCGGCGAACGGGUGAGUAACACGUGGGUGACCUGCCCUCAGCUCUGGGAUGAGCCCGGGAAACUGGGUCUAAUACCGGAUAUGACUCCAUGACGCAUGUUGUGGGGUGGAAAGCCUUGUGCGGCUGAGGAUGGGCCCGCGGCCUAUCAGCUUGUUGGUGGGGUGANGGCCUACCAAGGCGACGACGGGUAGCCGGCCUGAGAGGGCGACCGGCCACACUGGGACUGAGACACGGCCCAGACUCCUACGGGAGGCAGCAGUGGGGAAUCUUGCGCAAUGGGCGAAAGCCUGACGCAGCGACGCCGCGUGAGGGAUGACGGCCU
RNAcentral lists this ribosomal RNA (388 nucleotides) under uncultured bacterium. Its description in RNAcentral is "bacterial SSU rRNA". It matches the Rfam family "Bacterial small subunit ribosomal RNA", at positions 28 to 417 of the family's 1533-position model. The record is from RNAcentral.